UACGAAGGGUGCAAGCGUUAAUCGGAAUCACUGGGCGUAAAGCGUCUGUAGGUGGUCCAAUAAGUCAACUGUUAAAUCUUGAGGCUUAACCUCAAAAUCGCAGUCGAAACUAUUAGACUAGAGUAUAGUAGGGGUAAAGGGAAUUUCCAGUGGAGCGGUGAAAUGCGUAGAGAUUGGAAAGAACACCGAUGGCGAAGGCGCUUUACUGGGCUAUUACUAACACUCAGAGACGAAAGCUAGGUUAGCAAAUGGG
This 253-nucleotide ribosomal RNA is filed under the name uncultured bacterium. RNAcentral describes it as "partial 16S ribosomal RNA". It matches the Rfam family "Bacterial small subunit ribosomal RNA", at positions 524 to 776 of the family's 1533-position model. The record is from RNAcentral.